Molecule: ribosomal RNA, 393 nt
Filed under: uncultured bacterium
Lineage: Bacteria
Description: partial 16S ribosomal RNA
Rfam family: Bacterial small subunit ribosomal RNA
Source: RNAcentral
CCUACGGGGGGCAGCAGUGAGGAAUAUUGGUCAAUGGACGGGAGCCUGAACCAGCCAAGCCGCGUGAGGGAAGAAGGUACAGCGUAUCGUAAACCUCUUUUAUCAGGGAACAAAGGCGGGGACUAGUCCCCGGAUGAGGGUACCUGAAGAAAAAGCAUCGGCUAACUCCGUGCCAGCAGCCGCGGUAAUACGGAGGAUGCGAGGGUUAUCCGGAUUUAUUGGGUUUAAAGGGUGCGCAGGCGGCCGGUUAAGUCAGCGGUAAAAGCCCGGGGCUCAACCCCGGAGAGCCGUUGAAACUGGCGGGCUGGAGGUGGGGAGAGGUACGCGGAAGUCGUGGUGUAGCGGUGAAAUGCUUAGAUAUCGCGCAGAACCCCGAUUGCGAAGGCAGCGUAC